This 622-nucleotide ribosomal RNA is filed under the name uncultured Glomeromycotina. RNAcentral describes it as "eukaryotic LSU rRNA". It matches the Rfam family "Eukaryotic large subunit ribosomal RNA", at positions 86 to 621 of the family's 3401-position model. Lineage: Eukaryota; Fungi; Glomeromycota. The record is from RNAcentral.
ACGGCGAGUGAAGCGGGAUGAGCUCAAAUUUAAAAUCAGGCGCAAGCCCGAAUUGUAGUCUAUAGAGGCGCUAUUGGAAGCCGGACUCUGCUAAAGUCCCAUGGAAUUGGGUAUCAAAGAGGGUGAGAAUCCCGUCUAGGCAGGGAAUGGUGACCGUAAGAGGCGUUUUCAAAGAGUCGAGUUGUUUGGGAUUGCAGCUCAAAGUGGGUGGUAAACUCCAUCUAAAGCUAAAUAGAGGCAAGAGACCGAUAGCAAACAAGUACCGUGAGGGAAAGAUGAAAAGCACCUUGAAAAGGGAGUUAAAAGCGCGUGAAAUUGUUAAAAGGGAAACGCUUGGAGCCAGAGGGGCGAUUCAGUUCAAUGUUCUGUGGUGGAGGAGACGCAAGCCAUGGGAUGUGUAUUCUGGAACGUCUGGUCAGGGGUGAUUUGUGAGGCCGGAGAAGGGUGUCGGGAAGGUGGGCACUUGCCAUUGGUGAGUUGCUUUUAUAGACCGAUGCAGAUACGGGCUUAUGGAUUUCUAUAAGUGAUGGGGGUAUUGAGGUUGGGAGGAUUAGUGAUGAGGGGUUCAGGGACAAGCUUUGACUCUGUUCCCAGCGUCGGCAAGAAACCUAGCGUGUGCCUU